CCUAACACAUGCAAGUCGAACGGGAAGCGGUGCAUAUUGCUUCGGUGAUAAUGUGCCGUGGAGAGUGGCGAACGGGUGCGUAACACGUAGGUAACCUGCCCUGAAAGGGGGGAUAACCACGGGAAACUGUGGCUAAUACCGUAUAAUCUCGCCGUGGCGGUGGUUACGGUGAGGAAAGCUGAGGCGAUUUGGGAGGGGCCUGCGGUCGAUUAGCUGGUUGGUGGGGUAAAGGCCCACCAAGGCGAUGAUCGAUAGCUGUUCUGAGAGGAAGACCAGCCACACGGGAACUGAGACACGGUUCCGACUCCUACGGGGGGCAGCAGUGAGGAAUAUUGCGCAAUGGGGGGAACCCUGACGCAGCAACGCCGCGUGGAGGACGAAGGUUUUCGGAUUGUAAACUCCUUAACUGGGGGAAGAGAGAGGACGGUACCCCAGGACGAAGACACGGCUAACUAGGUGCCAGCAGCCGCGGUAAUACCUAGGUGUCGAGCGUUAUCCGGAAUUACUGGGCGUAAAGGGUGCGCAGGCGGUGUUACAAGUCCGGCGUGAAAGCUUCUGGCUUAACUGGGAGAGGACGUCGGAAACUGUAGU
RNAcentral lists this ribosomal RNA (591 nucleotides) under uncultured bacterium. Its description in RNAcentral is "bacterial SSU rRNA". It matches the Rfam family "Bacterial small subunit ribosomal RNA", at positions 47 to 639 of the family's 1533-position model. The record is from RNAcentral.